RNAcentral lists this ribosomal RNA (433 nucleotides) under uncultured bacterium. Its description in RNAcentral is "partial 16S ribosomal RNA". It matches the Rfam family "Bacterial small subunit ribosomal RNA", at positions 29 to 507 of the family's 1533-position model. The record is from RNAcentral.
AACGAACGCUGGCGGCAUGCCUAACACAUGCAAGUCGAACGAGACCUUCGGGUCUAGUGGCGCACGGGUGCGUAACGCGUGGGAACCUGCCCUUAGGUUCGGAAUAACUCCCCGAAAGGGGUGCUAAUACCGGAUAAUGUCUUCGGACCAAAGAUUUAUCGCCUUUGGAUGGGCCCGCGUUGGAUUAGCUAUUUGGUAGGGUAAAAGCCUACCAAGGCGACGAUCCAUAGCUGGUCUGAGAGGAUGAUCAGCCACACUGGGACUGAGACACGGCCCAGACUCCUACGGGAGGCAGCAGUGGGGAAUAUUGGACAAUGGGCGAAAGCCUGAUCCAGCAAUGCCGCGUGAGUGAUGAAGGCCUUAGGGUUGUAAAGCUCUUUUAACCGGGAUGAUAAUGACAGUACCGGGAGAAUAAGCUCCGGCUAACUCCGUG